This 5313-nucleotide long non-coding RNA is filed under the name Homo sapiens (human). Its description in RNAcentral is "HSALNT0154874". Lineage: Eukaryota; Metazoa; Chordata; Mammalia; Primates; Hominidae. The record is from RNAcentral.
GCAGCGCCAAAGCCUGGGCUGCCAUCUUGCCCCCCGACGCAGGGGCUGGCCCAGCGGCCCAGUUCCCGGGGCGCUUUCCUGAACCUCGCGAGAUCUGAUCACAGCCUCCUUGUCCCUGAGAUGGCUAUGGGGCUGCCAAGCCUCGCGAGAAGCCUCCGUUAGGGCCGUGUCAACUGUAGCCAGUGGUUGCGGCUCCCUCAGUCUGGCGUCAUCUAGGUCGCUGCUCAGGGAAAUGCGGAGGCCAGUAGGCUUACGUGUUUACCGCGUAGGGCAAAGCCUUGCCAAAUUCCCGGCCAGCGGAGCGGCGAGGGUGGGGACUCACGGGAAGUUAAACAGCCUCGUCGGCGUCCUCGAGGCUCCAAAACCAGGCUCUAGGCGGGGACGACUGCAGCCGUUAUGGAGGCCACCGCGGCUACGGCCGCGGCUGAGGCCUCCCCAGGUGGAGCGGUGGCCUGGAGGGGAAUCUUGAUCCUGGGCCAGCCACCUGUCAAGAGGAGGCGGAGCGUCAUGCCUCUGGAAGACUGGAUGAAUAUUCUCCAGGAGCCUGACGAAGGCGGCCAUGCUGGAUAAGGAGCUGGCUGCCUCUGUGAACAUCCUACUCAAGGCAUCUUCACUGCUGUACAUCCUUUUGAAAUCCCAGAGAUCUUCAGUCUCCCUGUGGAUUAAGGAGAUGUGCAGUAUUUAAAGUGGCUUCAGGAAGGCAUGGAAGAGGACUGAGUGGGGAAAGCUUUUUGUGCAUGCUGCUGGCUACCUCCAGCGGCUGCCUCCAGCCUCCAUCAGCUGCACUCUGGGGAAGAGGAGGCUGCCUUCUACCUCCCAGCAUCUCUGGAUUUCAUGUUCCUGUCAGCACAGAGGAGCUAAAUGGCCUGUAGAGGCUGAAGGUCUGAGGCUCCUAAAGCUGGAAGAAAAGGCUGGGCCAGUCAGGCCAAGCAAGAACACAGUGUAACUUGUCUCUGAGUGCUUCAUGGUUAAGGGGGCUAAGCAGGCACAAGGGCAUGAGGAUGGUUAUAUGUACAGACUGAGGGGAAGAAGCAGUGAAGAUGAGACUUGCCAUCUUCUUGAGUCAGUAGGCCUGCCUCAGGUGCCUAGGAUGUAAUUGCUCUGCUGCUUCUCAUGGGGAGGAGUGGCCCUCAUGACCUUGUUUACCUGGAAGAGUGUGGGAUGAAUGCCUCCUCCUAUGGGGACUCGCAAGUGCUUUAGCAAAAGGAUAAAUUGCUAAUUGUGGCAUUUCGUGGAUCAGCAGGAUUAUUUCUCCUUGCUAAAGAGGAUUUUGUUGGUCCUGAAUUCUGAGGAGGUGGGACUAGGAAUGGGCUCCAUGAGCCUGUGUAUGACUCAGGGAAUAUUAGGACUUUGGCACAGCCUCAUGGGUUGGGAGUAAGUCUUGGCUCUUCCCUAGCCUGAAUGACAGACAUCAGAUCAUUCUGGUGCUUUGUCCAUGAAGAUGUAGAUUCUGAGCCCACCCAACUAAUCUUUUCACUUGAGCACAGAAACAGCCCCGGGAAUCGGACAGACCCGUGUCUUUCAGGUUUGCUUCACAGAGCCCCAGGGGUUGACAAUAGGUGCCUUGGAGACUGCCUGCAUGGGGAUUUUUAAAAAGCUUUCUUUGUUAAAGGUUUGUAAACCACUCCUCUGAGCCUGUUUUCAUUUUAUAGAUUAUUCAGGGAACUGAACUGCACAGAGAUCCAGAAAGUGGGUAGUGCAGGCUGUAGUGCUGAUAACUACUGUACUACUUGGAUCUUUGUGCUCCCAAAUACCAAAUGGAAGAGGAUCUCUGAGAGUCCUUUGCAAAGAUCUUGUAGGGACUUUAGGCUGGGGCCUUCGGAAAAUUCCAGAGGAUUCCAAUGGAGAUUUUGAGGGACUGACUCAGAAGAACAAAGAGAAUGAUAAUGGUGAUGUCCCUGCUUUUUACAACAGAUCAUGUUCUGAUAUAUAUGCAAAUCUGUGUAAAGUAAACCCUACCUAAAAUGUACUGGGGACCCAAGAUGGACUGCCUGUAUUGCUUCCAGGAUAAAGUCCAAUUUCUAGCUCUGGUUUUUAUAACCUUGCUUCAGCUCACCUUUUCCGUCAUCAUCCCCUCCAUCUCCUCUCCCACGCUGGGAAAUGGAUGGCUGCACUAUACUGUGUGAUGUUAUUGCUAUGUUCAUGCCAUCCCCUCUGCCUGGAAUGCCCUUCUGCAUGAAUGCCUGUGAAAUGUUGUUGCUCCUUUGUAUGGCCUGGCUUCCGUGGUUGGCAGGAAUCUCUUCUUUCGUGGUAUUCCUGUCAUCUUUGUGCAUCACAGUCAGCUUUGUAUUCCUAGCUUGUAAGCUACUUGAGGAUAGGGGCAUGUCUGAAUCUAUUUAAUCUCUUGCACCUGUUUGGCAAAUUGAUGUUUUAAGUAUUUAAAUAACUAAAGCUCUCUCUACAGUACAUACUCACUUUUGAUUUAUGAAUUGGCAAAAUUCAACUUUUUUCCUUGAAUAUUCUUAAAGUGAGAUGAAUUCCAAAGGAGAGUGUUCUGUGUGUGGCCUUCAUUGAGUGGUUUUCUGUUACCAGAAAGCUCUUGGUGGCCUUCCUCUUCCCUGGUGUCAAGGUUGACUGUUAUAGGAAAUGGGAGGGGAGAGGGCCGUUUCUGCCACGCAUUGUCCUAGGUUCUUAACAUUAUUUAAUCCUUAUAAUGCAAUGUUAUCCUCAUUUUACAGAUGAAACCUGAGACCAAAGAACAUGUAACACAUAAAGUACAUUGCAGAGUUAGGAUGUGAACCCAACUCUGAUUCUAAACCUAAUGCUCUCACUCUUUCAUUCAGAGGUUCAGUCAGUUCUUUGUAGGCUGUAGAUCCAGAGAAGCUGCCGUAGCCAACAAUGAAGUUGUUAGUUUUUAAAACAUCUAUGUGGUAAGUUGGUCUGGCACUUAAAAAUGUAUUGUUUCCCAGGCACGGUGGUUCACACCUGUAAUCCCAGCAUUUUGGGAGGCCGAGGCAGGCGGAUCAUUAGGUCAAAAGAUUGAGACCAUCCUGACCAACAUGGUGAAACCCCGUCUCUACUAAAAGUACAAAAAUUAGCUGGGUGUGGUGGCGCAUGCCUCUAGUCCCAGCUACCUGGGAGGCUGAGGCAGGAGAAUUGCUUGAACCCAGGAGGCAGAGGUUGCAGUGAGCCAAGAUCAUGCUACUGCACUACAGCCUGGCAACAAAGCGAGACUCUGUCUAAAAUAUAUAUAUAUAUAUAUAUUGUUUACUACUCACCACAGAUCUGCAGGAGUUCACUGAUCUCUAGGAUCUGCCUUAACUCCAACUUACAUGUUUUGGUCACUAUUACAAACUGUCAUCCCAGAAUGAUGCUGCAGAGGCUAGGGCUAGGACACAGACCAGUGUUUCCAUGUGGGAAUUCCCUCCCAGUAUUUCUUAGGAAAUGUAUGUUUUUUGAAUCCAUAAUCCCUAGAAAAAUCAGUUGAGGAAAUGAGAAGUAUUGUAAUUAUUCUGUGAAUAGUAACACUUACCAUUAUGGAGACAUCACUAGUUUGAAAGAAUCCAACUUCAUCAAAUAUUAACGUACCGAGUUGAAGGCUACAAGAACUGAGACAGGAGCAUAGCAGAGAGAAACGGUCACCAUCUCAUUAGCCCUAUUUUUGGUUGUUGUGAUGCCAUUACAUCUGUAUAUCUGGCCAUAUCAGCUGCUAAUGGUGAGUUCUUGCAAACAAAAUGAUUUGAUAAACAACCUACCAUACUUUAUACAAAUCUUAUGGUGUUCCGAGAAAUAAACUUUGGAAGCAAAAUAAGUUAACAGUCUGGACACGAUUGAUUCUAUAUUCUGUUUACCUUGCUCUAGGCUAUUCAAAUGUUAUAUUUAUUUGAACACUAUCCAAUAUAUGUUCCCUGGCAUCUUCCUGUCUUUUAAAUAUUCUCUGUACGCUACAGUUCUUUGUAAGUAAAAAUAAGCUUAAUAUGUCUACUUAGCAAACAAAGUUUUUCCAGAUACCUAUAAUAAUGAGGAAAACAGUAUAAAGAAUGAAGUAUUUGAAGAAUAACUUAUAAUUUGGGGGAUUUCUGAGAAUUCUACUUCUUUGUCCCUAAUUUCCGAAGGUAAAUGUUUGUUGUGAAUUUGGAAACACUAGACUACAGAAAAGCAGGCACUCUCUAGCCUGGGAGGCCCACUGAUCUUAGGAGGGUCCAUAUAGCUGCUUAUUGCAGACCUUGCACUAGAACCCAGGUCUUUUGACACCUGGUGCCACUUUUCAUUCCAUUCCAUUAAUUAUAGCCCAGAGAAUAACCACCACCACCCCCAAGUCCCAUUGUGGUUUUAUUCUGAGGACAGAUAAAAGGUUGAAGCUGAUGGAGUGGUAGAAAGAAGUGGGAGCCAUAGUGAAUGAAGACGUUUAAGGGCAGAUAUUAACACCACUGAGUCCUUCAUUCGGGAUUACAGGUUACACUUUACCCCUCAAACUGUAGAAUUCAGUGGAAUCCAUGGCCUUUACCUCUCUAUAGAUGACCUUUUUCCUACCCCUUUACAUCUCCUGUUUUUUUCCUCUCCAAACUGCCCUAAAUUUAGAGGUUUAUUUUGAAGUAAUAAUCAGUCACACACAGCAAAGUCUCUCCCAACACAUGGGGAGCAGAUGUGCUGGGAUUAUCACUGCCAUUUGAAGGGUGAUAAAACUGAAGGAAAGGAAUCUGACUAAAGUGGCACAGGUUAGAACUAGCAGAGUCAGGUCUAGAACUCAUUUCAUAUUUCUAGAAUUGUGUGAUGAUGUACUGAUAAAGUUUUACGAUGCCCGGAUCUAAGUAUUAUAAUAGUGUCAAUUUCUAAGUUCAUUUUCCAUCUUUUACCUCUCAGUGGCACUCAACUAAUGUUUUUUGCCCCCAAAGGUCGGGUACUCACAAAAGAUUCCAUAUUCUCUCUGGCAGUAAGGGUGAGAAUGUUGCUGGCAGUGGUAGGAGUGGCAAGGUGGCCAGAGGACAGGGUCCUGCCAUUCCUCCUCAGCCUCCAGUAAACCAAGUGCAAAAGCCAGAGCCAAUUCCUUCUGCCACCCAGCAGCUAAUUCACUAUAGGGAAGACAAGUGAUUGUUCAAAGGGAGGUUUUAAAUCAUAAAUCAGACACAUUAAUUAUAACUUUAACAAAUGUUAUUAAAAGCAGCAAUUAAAAACCAUGAAUCUUUUUGAAGGUGCAGAGGGUUAUAAGGUCAGUUGGCAGUAAUGCAGCUAUUAUCUGGUAUGAAUGAAAUGCUGGGGUGGGGAGUCAGGGUGACCUCAUUAGGCCUUGUGCUAUCUUCCCAGGUAGGGAAGGUCCAGAUGUACUAUAACAGGAUUGCUCAUCCCAGGCUAUCUCAGAAGUCUGGAAAGCAG